CUCUGGAAGCUUUCUUUUCAGUUUCAAUGGCAAUUCCGACAUCGUUUCUCACUUUAAAAACAAAGAAAGCCAACCUCUACAGACUUACACUCACCACAAUCCUAUGCACUGUCUUUUACUUCAUAGGUUUCUACCAAAAUUCCCGUGGCAAUAUCCCUCUCGUCAAUCCAUCUUCCGCCACCUCCAUAUUCUCCUGCGCUCCACCAAUUCGUAACGCCACCCUCGACUUCUUACCUCACCACUACGCCCCUGACCCUCCGCUCACGUGGGCGCGUGUAUCUUACCUCCCUCCAUGCGACCCCAAAUACUCUGAGUACACCCCA
This 323-nucleotide unclassified non-coding RNA is filed under the name Hevea brasiliensis (rubber tree). The record is from RNAcentral. Lineage: Eukaryota; Viridiplantae; Streptophyta; Magnoliopsida; Malpighiales; Euphorbiaceae.